GACGAACGCUGGCGGCGUGCUUAACACAUGCAAGUCGAACGGAAAGGCCCUGCUUGCAGGGUGCUCGAGUGGCGAACGGGUGAGUAACACGUGGGUGAUCUGCCCCUUAUUUUGGGAUAAGCCUGGGAAACUGGGUCUAAUACUGGAUAGGACCAUGCUGUAGGUGGUGUGGUGGAAAGAUUAGUUUCGGUAAGGGAUGAGCUCGCGGCCUAUCAGCUUGUUGGUGGGGUAAUGGCCUACCAAGGCGUCGACGGGUAGCCGGCCUGAGAGGGUGGACGGCCACAUUGGGACUGAGAUACGGCCCAGACUCCUACGGGAGGCAGCAGAGGGGAAUAUUGCACAAUGGGCGCAAGCCUGAUGCAGCGACGCCGCGUGGGGGAUGACGGCCUUCGGGUUGUAAACUCCUUUCAGCCAUGACGAAGCCCUUGUGGUGACGGUAGUGGUAGAAGAAGCACCGGCUAACUACGUG
This 469-nucleotide ribosomal RNA is filed under the name uncultured bacterium. Its description in RNAcentral is "partial 16S ribosomal RNA". It matches the Rfam family "Bacterial small subunit ribosomal RNA", at positions 28 to 507 of the family's 1533-position model. The record is from RNAcentral.